GAAUGCACAGUUUAGGAUGUCUGAGCACGCACGCUUUCUGUGUACGGCAGGUCGUGGAAUGGAAGAAUUUGUGAAACAAGAUGUCAUCGAUCGGUGCCAUGCUUACAAUGUGAAGUUAUAUCAAGGAAAAGUUGCUUUCAGUAGCAAUGCCUCACCAGAACAUCUUAUUGCUGUGAAAUCUGCUGAGAGGUUGAUGGUUCUAGUUACCUUGCAAAGCUCAUCGAUGAUGCAAAACAAAGAAAAAAAGUUUGCAGGGUCUUCUUUGUUGUCGUCUUUGGUAAACACCAUAGUAACAGAUGAUGUCUGUAUGUGGAGACACGCUGUUACUAAAUGGAGAGAAUUUCAAAGACUGUGGGAUGGUUCAAUAGUGGAGCAGGAAAUCACUCAACAUGGGUCUCCAGCAGCAAAACGAAUGAAACCAGAAGGGAUGUAUAGUCCUUCCGCAAUCUCUACUUUUGUGCCUGUUGAUCAGGUGUCGUUUCGAGUAUCGUGUAAAUGUGCUGGAAGGUUGGGAAGGCAACUGUCAUGUCAGGAACUUGCCAAAGCUGUUGGUUAUCGUUUAGGAUUGUUAAUGUCAUGGAAAGUGAACUUGAAGUCACCAGAUGUUGAAGUGUGUGUUCAUGUGAAUGAUGAUCUCAUUAUUGCUGCUAUACCUACUACAAGAGUGCCCUUGUCCAGUCGAUCUUAUCUGAAGACAUUUGGUUUAAGAUGUACUGUUGCAUGGGCUAUUGGUAGGCUUGCAAACAUUAAGCCAGGUGAUGUAGUCAUGGAUCCAAUGUGUGGCAGUGGGAUAUUAUUGAUAGAAUCAGCAAGAGAGUGGAAGGAUGCUGUUUAUGUCGGUUGUGAUUUGAGUGACAGCCAAUUGUUUCGAGCAGUUGACAAUGUCAAGGAAGCAUCACCUCACAAUGUCUUUCUUAUGGAAGCAAAUGCCACACAUUUACCAGUUGUAAAUGACUCUGUUGAUGUUGUUAUUUGUGACUUGCCAUUUGGUCAGCAACAUGGCAUACCAGAAACGAUCAAUAAGCUGUACACAUUGUUUGCCAAGGAAGUGAACAGGGUUCUAAAGAGCGAGGGAACACUUGUGCUUCUGACAUCGACUGCAAACAUUGAGAUCCUCUUGCAAGGCUUUAAUAAAUGUACUUGUAUUAGAGGAGAUGGAUCAUGCUUGGAGUUUUGUGUAACUGAAAAUUAUCCUGUUGUGCUUGGAAUUCUACCUGCUUGCAUAGUUGUGUUAAAACAAGUAAGAAAGACGUCAACAAUGGCAGUGAAUAGACCAGAGGUUGAUGAAUGAUUGACACAAUGAAAUGUUUUUUGUCGUAUAGAAAUUAUUGUUUGUUUCUAAUUAAAGGGAAUAUAAAAAGGCAAUUUUGUUGAUUUGAGCAAGCACCAGCAUGACAUUAAUGAACAUAGCUGAUAAGGAGGAAGACUCCUUGCAGUGAAGUGAACACCAUAAAUGGGUACCAAAAGAAGCUGGUCUUCUUUGAUGCUGCUAUGAGAGCAAACACCCAUUUUUUUAGCUGUUUCUGGUUGCAGUGAUAUGCUACUUCUUCUUCUUCGUUGACUUUGUCCUUUCAGUGCAUGCAGUGUUGCAGAAUGCUUUAAACCAAUAUGUAUAGCUCGUGCUGAUACAACAAACACAACAGAGUUGAAAA
Molecule: RNA transcript, 1652 nt
Organism: Corticium candelabrum
Lineage: Eukaryota; Metazoa; Porifera; Homoscleromorpha; Homosclerophorida; Plakinidae
Gene name: THUMP domain-containing protein 2-like
Exons: 14
Source: RefSeq, a predicted model, not a curated record